AACGCGAAGAACCUUACCUGGGCUAGACAACGGCGGACCGCCUAAGAAAUUAGGCUUUCCCUUCGGGGACUGCCGGUUCAGGUGUUGCAUGGCUGUCGUCAGCUCGUGUCGUGAGAUGUUGGGUUAAGUCCCGCAACGAGCGCAACCCUUAUCGUUAGUUGCCAUCGGGUCAAGCCGGGCACUCUAGCGAAACCGCCCAGGAUAACUGGGAGGAAGGUGGGGAUGACGUCAAGUCCUCAUGGCCUUUAUGUCCAGGGCUACACACGUGCUACAAUGGUCGGUACAAACCGUCGCAAACCCGCGAGGGGGAGCUAAUCGGAAAAAGCCGACCUCAGUUCGGAUUGGAGUCUGCAACCCGACUCCAUGAAGCUGGAAUCGCUAGUAAUCGCAGAUCAGAACGCUGCGGUGAAUACGUUCCCGGGCCUUGUACACACCGGCUAC
Molecule: ribosomal RNA, 441 nt
Filed under: uncultured bacterium
Lineage: Bacteria
Description: bacterial SSU rRNA
Rfam family: Bacterial small subunit ribosomal RNA
Source: RNAcentral